RNA transcript from Pipistrellus kuhlii (Kuhl's pipistrelle), 2162 nucleotides. It is a transcript of the gene named mesoderm posterior bHLH transcription factor 1, with no coding region annotated. The record is from RefSeq and is a predicted model, not a curated record. The transcript is spliced from 4 exons. NCBI's taxonomy places the organism in Eukaryota, Metazoa, Chordata, Mammalia, Chiroptera, Vespertilionidae.
CUUCCUGCAUGCAUCCCACUGAGGAUCGAGCCUGCAACCCCGGGCAUGUGCCCUUGACCCGAAUCGAACCCAGGAUGCUUCUGUCUGCAGGCCGAGGCUCUAUCCACUGAGCAAACCCAGCUAGGGCUGUAGAUGCCUUUUAGCCGGUUGAGAAAGUUCCCCUCUAUGCCUCGUUUGCUGAGAUGUUUUAUUGUGACGGGGUAUGGGAUUGUGUCAGAUAUAAGAUGUUUUUUGAUGUGUCAUUUCCACGGCAAAGCUUGUCACACCUGCCCCAGAGUGACACCAGCCAGAGGGGACAACAGGCCAAACCCCAAGGCUCUCAGGCUAAGGGUGUCCUGCAGGGCCACAGGCUCACCCCUCCCUCAGCCCAGAUGGUCCAGCAACCUGACCAGAUGCAGCCAGCUUGGAGCAUCCAGACCACCAGCCUUGGAGGAGGAAUGGAUUGCUGUUCCCCUCACCUCCAGCAGGAAUCGGGGCCUCACUCCCAGGCCCUCGCUGGUGCAGACCUGGAUGCAGCAGGCCCCUAGGGUCCCAUUAUACAAAUCGGCAACAAAGGUGCAAGAAAAUUCAUUUCUUUGCAUAAGGUCCCCAACAGGUGAAGACAGCCCGAGAUCUAGGUCCUGGGCUUCCAGGCCUGUGAUCCUGCUUCCUUUUCCCCGCUGAGCUGGCCCAACACCCAGGGCUGGGCGCAGGCAGGAGGCCCGAGGGGCAGGAACUGGUGCCCAGCUAUGGCUCAGGUGGGGCCAACCUGGUGCAGCCAAGCGGCCAGCACCUUCGCGGGCCCCCCCGUCGGUUCAAAGGUUCGGGCCCCGCCCCCCCGGGCCUCGAGCCGCUUUGAAGUGCUGAUGGAGCCUGGAAGGGGCCACUUCACACCUCGGGCUCCGGAUAGAGCGCUCGCCUAGGGGAUAAAAAGGUCGCCGGCCGCCUUCCCUCCCGAGACCGCGCCGCUGCUGCUGCUGCUGCUGCUGCUGCUGCUGCUGCUGCUGCUGCUGCUAUGGCCCAGCCCCUGUGCCCCGCGCUCUCCGAGCCCUGGAUCUUCCCCGCGGGCUGGGGCGCCGCUCAGCCUCCUCCGCCCGCCGAUCGGGGCCGCUGCUGCUGCUCCCCGGCAUCCUCCCCGAGCUCCUGGGGCAGCGCCCCGGCCGGCAGCCCCGCGCCCAGCCCCCGGCGCCCCGGCGCCCGCACGGCCCCGCGCGGCCCUCGAGCCGGGAGGCGCGGCGGCCGCCUGGGCGGCGGGCAGCGGCAGAGCGCCAGCGAGCGCGAGAAGCUGCGCAUGCGCACGCUGGCCCGCGCGCUGCACGAGCUGCGCCGCUUCCUGCCGCCGUCCGUGGCGCCCGCCGGCCAGAGCCUCACCAAGAUCGAGACGCUGCGCCUGGCCAUCCGCUACAUCGCCCACCUGUCGGCCGUGCUGGGCCUCAGCGAGGACAGCCUGCGGCGGUGCCGGCGCCCGCGGCCCCGGAGCAGCAGCAGCGGCGACGCGGCGGCCCGUCGGGGCUGCCCGCUCUGCCCCGACGGCGGCUCUGCGCACGCGCACGCGGAGACGCACGCGCAUGCGCACGGCCUGGGCGCCGCCGCCCCCGCCGUGGGGUCUUGGGGGCCCGCGCCCGCCGGUCCUGGAGCCGCGGAGGUGCCCGCGCCCGCGCUGUACGAGGAGGCAGCGCGCCCCGAAGGGUUUGCGGUGCAGCCGGGGCCCUCGUCUCCGCUCUUCCCUGGCCACGUGCUGGCCCAGCUGGAGGCCUGGAUGCCCGCCUCGCCCCUGGAGUGGCCCCCCGGCCUGAGCAGUUGACGUGGCGGCGGCCAGCCGGCGGCCUGUCUACCGUGAGCACCGCGGUCUGUGCACCUUCGGAGGGCGCCCCGUCCAGGCCCCUCCCGCGGCGGAGGGCGGCGGCCAGGCUGGCAAGGGCAUGCCUGCGGGGCUCUGCUAAUGAGACGGAUCGCCUCCCACCGCUCAUCCUCCCCACCCCUUCCUGGGCCAGCCGCCCGGAACCGGCAGAAGGAAGCCCCGAUGCCUGAUCAGAGGGACAGGACAGUCACCAGUGUGCCCAGGUACUUCCGGUACGUGUCGUUGAAGAUGGCGGUCUGCUGCUCCCACUGGCUGUCCUUGAUGAUGUGGUUCUGGCCCGAGCCCAGGCCGUAGCAGCCCUCCAGCUUGGCAAACACUUCCA